This 368-nucleotide long non-coding RNA is filed under the name Nannospalax galili (Upper Galilee mountains blind mole rat). Its description in RNAcentral is "lncRNA (ENSNGAG00000024522.1)". Lineage: Eukaryota; Metazoa; Chordata; Mammalia; Rodentia; Spalacidae. The record is from RNAcentral.
AGAGGAGAUAUCUAAAACAGGGCCCAGUGCAUAUAGGGAAAGGGUGGAUGUGGAUAUUCAUGUCUAAUGGCUCCUCUCUCCCCUCACCAGCUCAGUCUGCUCCCUGGAUUCCAGCAAGUCCCCAGGAAGGGAGUACCGGGGACUGGGAGAUGGCAGCUGCACUUCUUGCAGCCGGAUCACAGAAAAGGAAAGGUCAAGUGGAGGAAGGAGGCUGUGGUACAGUCUGCGAGAAAGAAUAAGGCAGGUAAGAAGGGAUUGAGUAGACGCCUGUAGUUGAACAGAGGGCGUACCUCUGACUUCUAAGCACACUUGGGAAACUCCUGUGGUGACAUCACCCUCACUCCUUUUCUCUUUACUAAACUGUGUGC